RNAcentral lists this ribosomal RNA (484 nucleotides) under uncultured bacterium. RNAcentral's name for it is "partial 16S ribosomal RNA". It matches the Rfam family "Bacterial small subunit ribosomal RNA", at positions 30 to 507 of the family's 1533-position model. The record is from RNAcentral.
AUUGAACGCUGGCGGCAUGCCUAACACAUGCAAGUCGAGCGGAUGAAGGGAGCUUUCUCCUGGAUUCAGCGGCGGACGGGUGAGUAAUGCCUAGGAAUCUGCCUGGCCUUGGGGGAUAACGUCCGUAAACGGGCGCUAAUACCGCACACGUCCUGAUAUAGAACGUGGGGGAUCUUCGGACCUCACGCUUUCAGAUGAGCCUAGGUCGUAUUACCUAGUUGGUUGGGUAAAGGGUUACCAAGGCGGCUAGCCUUAACUGGUAUGAGAGGAUGCCCUGACACACUGGAACUGAGAAACGGUCCAGACUCCUACGGGAGGCAGCAGUGGGGAAUAUUACGCAAUGGGCGAAAGCCUGAUCGAGCAAUGCCGCGGGAGGGAUGAAGGUCUUCGGAUUGUAAAGCACUGUAAGUUGGGAGGAAGGACAGUAAUUUUAAACAUGACGGUAUUGACGGUACCAACAGAAUAAGCACCGGCUAACUACGUG